Molecule: long non-coding RNA, 999 nt
Organism: Meriones unguiculatus (Mongolian gerbil)
Lineage: Eukaryota; Metazoa; Chordata; Mammalia; Rodentia; Muridae
Exons: 3
Source: RefSeq, a predicted model, not a curated record
GCACCGCUGACAAUGAGAGCUGGAAACUAUGUAACUUGUGUGUGGUCCUGCUGACUGCUGGGGAGCAGAAGCCUUGAGGAGAGAGAAUACCCUCCUUCCAGGUUAUCCGAUAGGUGUUUCACGGAAGAGGUGUGCAUGUGUGUGCAGGAAGGAUGCUGUUUCUCAUUAAACUUCGGACUCCGGGAAAUUCCGUUCCACACAGGAUGAUCCCACAGUGUCUUCUCUGGAGAAUCUGCAAGACUGUCCUCGGUGUAUGGCUCAAGGCUGAGCCCCUAGAGGCCUCAGACUGCCUUCUGGUUCAUUAGCAGCCAGUCAGUGCUGGUGAAACAGAUCCUUGGCUUCAACAGAGAAGAAUUUCAAGAUGAGCCCAUGUGAUGCAGAAUUGUGUGAUCUAUUUAUUUUUGUGUCACCCUGGCCAGCCUGGAACUUCCUGCCAUGAUACCGCCUCUGUAAAACAUAAUACCAACUGUGAGCCGGACACUCAAGUGCCAAGUAAAAGACUGAAGGCCGAGGGGCGAAGUGGAAGUUUUGGUUUCUUUAAAAACUCAGUUAUGUCAUGUGAACAGGUUUUUGUUCUAAUCCCAAGUGUGGGAUAUGGAAUUGCUUUUAGUUUCUCCACAGCUGGUGAUUGCCUCACACUGCUCAGAGAGGGGCAUGACCUUUUUCAGCUGCAGUUAGUUGAAUUCUGAGGACUUGAAGAGGGUAUACCAGAGCCCAGAGAGACGAAGGACGCUUCGUGAAUGCUUCAAGAGAAAAUUUGAAGAUGUGAGUGAGAGAAAGGAGAGAGAGAGGCUUUGAGGAGAUGGACAGAGAAAGAAGAAGGCUGCUGGUUCUGCUGGACUGCUGGGUAUCGCGAUAACUGAGAUUGGUGUUUUCCCAAAGAACCCUACGACCCUAAGCAGGAAGAACUAAGUCUAAAGAGUUCUGUGCUCCAACUCCCCACUAACCUUUCUCUCCCACCUAGGGUCGGGGGCUUCAAAGGAGGUAGAGGCAUUAAAG